This 501-nucleotide ribosomal RNA is filed under the name uncultured bacterium. RNAcentral describes it as "partial 16S ribosomal RNA". It matches the Rfam family "Bacterial small subunit ribosomal RNA", at positions 803 to 1304 of the family's 1533-position model. The record is from RNAcentral.
UAAACGANGAGUGCUAGGUGUUAGACCCUUUCCGGGGNUUAGUGCCGCAGCUAACGCAUUAAGCACUCCGCCUGGGGAGUACGACCGCAAGGUUGAAACUCAAAGGAAUNGACGGGGGCCCGCACAAGCGGNGGAGCAUGUGGUUUAAUUNGAAGCAACGCGAAGAACCUUACCAGGUCUUGACAUCCCUCUGACCGCUCUAGAGAUAGAGUUUUCCUUCGGGACAGAGGUGACAGGUGGUGCAUGGUNGUCGUCAGCUCGUGUCGUGAGAUGUUGGGUUAAGUNNNNCNACGAGCGCAACCCCUAUUGUUAGUUGCCAUCAUUUAGUUGGGCACUCUAGCGAGACUGCCGGUAAUAAACCGGAGGAAGGUGGGGANGACGUCAAAUCAUCAUGCCCCUUAUGACCUGGGCUACACACGUGCUACAAUGGCNGGUACAACGAGUCGCAAGCCGGNGACGGCAAGCUAAUCUCUUAAAGCCAGUCUCAGUUCGGAUUGUAGG